AACGUAGGAGACAAACGUUAUCCGGAGUUACUGGGCGUAAAGGGCGUGCAGGCGGUUUCUUAAGUUCGUCGUGAAAUCGCCCGGCUUAACCGGGCGGGGUCGAUGGAUACUGGGAGACUUGAGGGCGGUAGAGGCGUGUGGAAUUCCGGGUGUAGUGGUGAAAUGCGUAGAUAUCCGGAGGAACACCAGUGGCGAAGGCGACACGCUGGGCCGUACCUGACGCUAAGACGCGACAGCAUGGGGAGCGAAC
Molecule: ribosomal RNA, 250 nt
Filed under: uncultured bacterium
Lineage: Bacteria
Description: partial 16S ribosomal RNA
Rfam family: Bacterial small subunit ribosomal RNA
Source: RNAcentral